RNAcentral lists this ribosomal RNA (433 nucleotides) under uncultured bacterium. RNAcentral describes it as "partial 16S ribosomal RNA". It matches the Rfam family "Bacterial small subunit ribosomal RNA", at positions 29 to 507 of the family's 1533-position model. The record is from RNAcentral.
AACGAACGCUGGCGGCAGGCCUAACACAUGCAAGUCGAGCGAGGACUUCGGUCCUAGCGGCGGACGGGGGAGUAACGCGUGGGAACGUGCCCUUUUCGUCGGAAUAGCCCUGGGAAACGGGGAGUAAUACCGGAUGAGCCCUUUGGGGGGAAGAUUUAUCGGCCAAGGAUCGGCCCGCGUGGGAUUAGGUAGUGGGUGGGGUAAUGGCCUCCCAAGCCGAGGAUUCAUAGCUGGGUUGAGAGGAUGGUCAGCCACACCGGGACGGGGACGCGGCCCAGAAUCCUACGCGAAGGAGCAGUGGGGAAUCUUAGACAAUGGGGGAAACGCUGAUCUAGCCAUGCCGCGUGAGCGAUGAAGGCAUUAGGGUUGUAAAGCGCUUUCAGCUGGGAAGAUAAUGACGGUACCAGCAGAAGAAGCCCCGGCUAACUACGUG